AACUAACGCUGGCGGCGUGCCUAACACAUGCAAGUCGUACGAGAAAGCCGGCUUCGGCUGGUGAGUAAAGUGGCGCACGGGUGAGUAACGCGUGGAUAAUCUGCCCUUAAGUGUGGAAUAACGUACCGAAAGGUGCGCUAAUACCGCAUAAUGCCUGGCAACACAAGUUGUCCGGCCAAAGAAGGCCUCUGUUUACAAGCUUUCGCUUCAGGAUGAGUCCGCGUACCAUUAGCUUGUUGGUGGGUAAUGGCCUACCAAGGCUGCGAUGGUUAGCUGGUCUGAGAGGAUGAUCAGCCACACUGGAACUGAGACACGGUCCAGACUCCUACGGGAGGCAGCAGUGAGGAAUAUUGCGCAAUGGGGGCAACCCUGACGCAGCAACGCCGCGUGAGUGAGGAAGGUUUUCGGACUGUAAAGCUCUGUCGAGCGGGAAGAAGUGUACCAUGGCUAAUAUCCAUAGAUUAUUGACCGGUACCGCGUAGAGGAGCCG
This 490-nucleotide ribosomal RNA is filed under the name uncultured bacterium. RNAcentral describes it as "bacterial SSU rRNA". It matches the Rfam family "Bacterial small subunit ribosomal RNA", at positions 29 to 493 of the family's 1533-position model. The record is from RNAcentral.